GAGACAAUCUGUAUUCUGUAAUUCAUGAAUCAUCUUUUGAGACCAAAAACAAAGACCCUGACAAAAGACUUAUAAGGCGCGCCAAAGCAGCCCUCAACCAAAUAGCAUUACACCCCCGCUGUCUGUCCAAAUGGAAUCCAUCGAAUAUCCAGCUAAAUUCCAUGACGAGCAAACUAAAAAAGAAAAGAUAAAGCAAGCUUGUCUCGAGCUU
This 211-nucleotide long non-coding RNA is filed under the name Eucalyptus grandis. Its description in RNAcentral is "long non-coding RNA (EGRA_LNC003531)". The record is from RNAcentral. Lineage: Eukaryota; Viridiplantae; Streptophyta; Magnoliopsida; Myrtales; Myrtaceae.